Molecule: ribosomal RNA, 1050 nt
Filed under: Kocuria sp.
Lineage: Bacteria; Bacillati; Actinomycetota; Actinomycetes; Micrococcales; Micrococcaceae
Description: bacterial SSU rRNA
Rfam family: Bacterial small subunit ribosomal RNA
Source: RNAcentral
GGCGGCGUGCUUAACACAUGCAAGUCGAACGCUGAAGCACCAGCUUGCUGGUGUGGAUGAGUGGCGAACGGGUGAGUAAUACGUGAGUAACCUGCCCUUGACUCUGGGAUAAGCCCGGGAAACUGGGUCUAAUACUGGAUGCUACAUGUCACCGCAUGGUGGUGUGUGGAAAGGGUUUACUGGUCUUGGAUGGGCUCACGGCCUAUCAGCUUGUUGGUGAGGUAAUGGCUCACCAAGGCGACGACGGGUAGCCGGCCUGAGAGGGUGACCGGCCACACUGGGACUGAGACACGGCCCAGACUCCUACGGGAGGCAGCAGUGGGGAAUAUUGCACAAUGGGCGAAAGCCUGAUGCAGCGACGCCGCGUGAGGGAUGACGGCCUUCGGGUUGUAAACCUCUUUCAGCAGGGAAGAAGCCACAAGUGACGGUACCUGCAGAAGAAGCGCCGGCUAACUACGUGCCAGCAGCCGCGGUAAUACGUAGGGCGCAAGCGUUGUCCGGAAUUAUUGGGCGUAAAGAGCUCGUAGGCGGUUUGUCGCGUCUGCUGUGAAAGCCCGGGGCUUAACCCCGGGUGUGCAGUGGGUACGGGCAGACUAGAGUGCAGUAGGGGAGACUGGAAUUCCUGGUGUAGCGGUGGAAUGCGCAGAUAUCAGGAGGAACACCGAUGGCGAAGGCAGGUCUCUGGGCUGUUACUGACGCUGAGGAGCGAAAGCAUGGGGAGCGAACAGGAUUAGAUACCCUGGUAGUCCAUGCCGUAAACGUUGGGCACUAGGUGUGGGGGACAUUCCACGUUUUCCGCGCCGUAGCUAACGCAUUAAGUGCCCCGCCUGGGGAGUACGGCCGCAAGGCUAAAACUCAAAGGAAUUGACGGGGGCCCGCACAAGCGGCGGAGCAUGCGGAUUAAUUCGAUGCAACGCGAAGAACCUUACCAAGGCUUGACAUAUACCGGAUCGUUCCAGAGAUGGUUCUUCCCCUUUGGGGUCGGUAUACAGGUGGUGCAUGGUUGUCGUCAGCUCGUGUCGUGAGAUGUUGGGUUAAGUCCCGCAACGA